Non-coding RNA from Pelodiscus sinensis (Chinese soft-shelled turtle), 145 nucleotides. Lineage: Eukaryota; Metazoa; Chordata; Testudines; Trionychidae. The record is from RefSeq and is a predicted model, not a curated record.
UGGAAGCAAUUUCAAAAGGAGGAACCAAGCCUUCAGAGACCAAGCCUGCAGGGACUGUCAGAGGCUUCUCCUCUGAAGCCUAAAAGAAUGGAAGCCCAUUGCUGGAAAGUGCCAAAUGGAAAAAAUGGCCAGGAAAGAGAGAGAG